AACAAACGCUGGCGGCGUGCCUAACACAUGCAAGUCGUACGAGAAAGUCGGCUUCGGCCGAUGAGUACAGUGGCGCACGGGUGAGUAGCGCGUGGGUAAUCUGCCCCCCGGUCAGGAAUAACCCGCCGAAAGGCGGGCUAAUACCCGAUAACACUGACGCUCCGCGGAGCGUCUUUCAAAGAAGGCCUCUGUUUACAAGCUUUCGCCGGAGGAUGAGCCCGCGUACCAUUAGCUAGUUGGCAGGGUAAUGGCCUACCAAGGCUACGAUGGUUAGCUGGUCUGAGAGGAUGGCCAGCCACACUGGAACUGAGACACGGUCCAGACUCCUACGGGAGGCAGCAGUGAGGAAUCUUGCGCAAUGGGGGAAACCCUGACGCAGCAACGCCGCGUGAGUGAGGAAGGCCUUCGGGUCGUAAAGCUCUGUCAGAUGGAAGAAAUGGAUGGGGGCUAAUAUCGCCCAUCCUUGACGGUACCAUCAGAGGAAGCACCGGCUAACUCCGUCG
This 503-nucleotide ribosomal RNA is filed under the name uncultured bacterium. Its description in RNAcentral is "bacterial SSU rRNA". It matches the Rfam family "Bacterial small subunit ribosomal RNA", at positions 29 to 508 of the family's 1533-position model. The record is from RNAcentral.